Molecule: ribosomal RNA, 547 nt
Filed under: uncultured bacterium
Lineage: Bacteria
Description: bacterial SSU rRNA
Rfam family: Bacterial small subunit ribosomal RNA
Source: RNAcentral
UGGGGAAUAUUGCGCAAUGGGGGGAACCCUGACGCAGCCAUGCCGCGUGAAUGAAGAAGGCCUUAGGGUUGUAAAGUUCUUUCGGUAUUGAGGAAGGUUGAUGUGUUAAUAGCACAUCAAAUUGACGUUAAAUACAGAAGAAGCACCGGCUAACUUCGUGCCAGCAGCCGCGGUAAUACGGAGGGUGCGAGCGUUAAUCGGAAUAACUGGGCGUAAAGGGCACGCAGGCGGUUAUUUAAGUGAGGUGUGAAAGCCCCGGGCUUAACCUGGGAAUUGCAUUUCAGACUGGGUAACUAGAGUACUUUAGGGAGGGGUAGAAUUCCACGUGUAGCGGUGAAAUGCGUAGAGAUGUGGAGGAAUACCGAAGGCGAAGGCAGCCCCUUGGGAAUGUACUGACGCUCAUGUGCGAAAGCGUGGGGAGCAAACAGGAUUAGAUACCCUGGUAGUCCACGCUGUAAACGCUGUCGAUUUGGGGGUUGGGGUUUAACUCUGGCGCCCGUAGCUAACGUGAUAAAUCGACCGCCUGGGGAGUACGGCCGCAAGGUUA